This 1678-nucleotide ribosomal RNA is filed under the name Yersinia enterocolitica. RNAcentral's name for it is "bacterial LSU rRNA". It matches the Rfam family "Bacterial large subunit ribosomal RNA", at positions 1271 to 2925 of the family's 2925-position model. The record is from RNAcentral. Lineage: Bacteria; Pseudomonadati; Pseudomonadota; Gammaproteobacteria; Enterobacterales; Yersiniaceae.
UGCUGGAGGUAUCAGAAGUGCGAAUGCUGACAUAAGUAACGAUAAUGCGGGUGAAAAACCCGCACGCCGGAAGACCAAGGGUUCCUGUCCAACGUUAAUCGGGGCAGGGUGAGUCGACCCCUAAGGCGAGGCUGAAAAGCGUAGUCGAUGGGAAACAGGUUAAUAUUCCUGUACUUGGUGUUACUGCGAAGGGGGGACGGAGAAGGCUAGGCUAGCCGGGCGACGGUUGUCCCGGUUUAAGCAUGUAGGCGGAGUGACCAGGUAAAUCCGGUUGCUUAUCAACGCUGAGGUGUGAUGACGAUGCACUACGGUGCAGAAGUAGUUGAUGCCAUGCUUCCAGGAAAAGCCUCUAAGCAUCAGGUAACAUGAAAUCGUACCCCAAACCGACACAGGUGGUCAGGUAGAGAAUACUCAGGCGCUUGAGAGAACUCGGGUGAAGGAACUAGGCAAAAUGGUGCCGUAACUUCGGGAGAAGGCACGCUGGCAUUAGGUAAAGGGACUUGCUCCCGGCGCCGAAGCCAGUCGCAGAUACCAGCUGGCUGCAACUGUUUAAUAAAAACACAGCACUGUGCAAACACGAAAGUGGACGUAUACGGUGUGACGCCUGCCCGGUGCUGGAAGGUUAAUUGAUGGGGUCAGCCGCAAGGCGAAGCUCUUGAUCGAAGCCCCAGUAAACGGCGGCCGUAACUAUAACGGUCCUAAGGUAGCGAAAUUCCUUGUCGGGUAAGUUCCGACCUGCACGAAUGGCGUAAUGAUGGCCAGGCUGUCUCCACCCGAGACUCAGUGAAAUUGAACUCGCUGUGAAGAUGCAGUGUACCCGCGGCAAGACGGAAAGACCCCGUGAACCUUUACUAUAGCUUGACACUGAACAUUGAGCCUUGAUGUGUAGGAUAGGUGGGAGGCAUAGAAGUGUGGACGCCAGUCUGCAUGGAGCCAACCUUGAAAUACCACCCUUUAAUGUUUGAUGUUCUAACUCGGCCCCGUAAUCCGGGGUGAGGACAGUGUCUGGUGGGUAGUUUGACUGGGGCGGUCUCCUCCCAAAGAGUAACGGAGGAGCACGAAGGUUAGCUAAUCACGGUCGGACAUCGUGAGGUUAGUGCAAAGGCAUAAGCUAGCUUGACUGCGAGAGUGACGGCUCGAGCAGGUACGAAAGUAGGUCUUAGUGAUCCGGUGGUUCUGAAUGGAAGGGCCAUCGCUCAACGGAUAAAAGGUACUCCGGGGAUAACAGGCUGAUACCGCCCAAGAGUUCAUAUCGACGGCGGUGUUUGGCACCUCGAUGUCGGCUCAUCACAUCCUGGGGCUGAAGUAGGUCCCAAGGGUAUGGCUGUUCGCCAUUUAAAGUGGUACGCGAGCUGGGUUUAGAACGUCGUGAGACAGUUCGGUCCCUAUCUGCCGUGGGCGUUGGAAGAUUGAGAGGGGCUGCUCCUAGUACGAGAGGACCGGAGUGGACGAAUCACUGGUGUUCGGGUUGUCAUGCCAAUGGCAUUGCCCGGUAGCUAAAUUCGGAAGAGAUAACCGCUGAAAGCAUCUAAGCGGGAAACUUGCCUCGAGAUGAGUCUUCCCUGGGGCUUUAAGCCCCCUGAAGGAACGUUAAAGACGAUGACGUUGAUAGGCUGGGUGUGUAAGUGCAGCGAUGCAUUGAGCUAACCAGUACUAAUGAACCGUGAGGCUUAACCUU